UGAUCCUCUUCAUUUUUUACGUUGUUGCUCCUUCACACAAGUCGUCCUCACCCUCCAGGAACAAAAACAAGGUGAGACCCCGUUUUGACCCGCAUUUUAAAACCGUAACGAUGGCAACAUCUCCUUGAAUGGAUAGACACCAGCACAGCAGCAGCCAUCCAUGAGGCGGGGAGCUUGCGGUGCCUCCCAACUACCAGCGUUUCGAGGCAGGCAUGGGAACUCCUGGCAACGAACAGAACACAAGCGAAGAACAAGGCUAAAACAAGGAGAGGUAUGUAAUCCUAUGCCUAAUCCUACAGCAAAGCAUGGAAGUUUCUGGUCCCAUUGGCACCCCAUGUUCAUCAUUUUCUCGCUCAACAUGCCUUUGUCAA
Long non-coding RNA from Selaginella moellendorffii, 371 nucleotides. RefSeq lists it as uncharacterized. Lineage: Eukaryota; Viridiplantae; Streptophyta; Lycopodiopsida; Selaginellales; Selaginellaceae. The transcript is spliced from 3 exons. The record is from RefSeq and is a predicted model, not a curated record.